RNAcentral lists this small RNA (136 nucleotides) under Citrobacter amalonaticus. Its description in RNAcentral is "RtT sRNA". It matches the Rfam family "RtT RNA". Rfam says of the family: This family represents a bacterial cis-regulatory element known as RtT RNA. Lineage: Bacteria; Pseudomonadati; Pseudomonadota; Gammaproteobacteria; Enterobacterales; Enterobacteriaceae. The record is from RNAcentral.
CGCCUUUUUGCUAUGCGCAGAAUGUAACGAUUCGAACCUGCUGCAGGUUCGGGUCUCACGCAGUGAGACAACGGAGCCGCUGGCGGCGACGGCCCGAAGGGCGAGGCGAAGCCGAGUCAUCCUGCACGACCCACCA